RNAcentral lists this ribosomal RNA (241 nucleotides) under uncultured eukaryote. RNAcentral describes it as "partial 18S ribosomal RNA". It matches the Rfam family "Eukaryotic small subunit ribosomal RNA", at positions 629 to 868 of the family's 1831-position model. The record is from RNAcentral.
CGUAGUUGGAUUUCUGGGCCGGAGAGCUGGUCUCGCCCGCAAGGGCGCUGCACCGUGCUCUGCCGGCUCAUCCUCGGGUGGGUCCGUACUGGCAUUAGGUUGUUGGUUCGGGGAAGCCCGUCUUUUACUGUGAAAAAAUUAGAGUGUUCAAAGCAGGCUUAAGCCGUUGGAUACAUUAGCAUGGAAUAAUGAGAUAGGACCGUGGUGUUUUAUUUUGUUGGUUUGCACGCCAAGGUAAUGA